This 28-nucleotide small RNA is filed under the name Bombyx mori (domestic silkworm). Its description in RNAcentral is "ovarian small RNA-20486". Lineage: Eukaryota; Metazoa; Arthropoda; Insecta; Lepidoptera; Bombycidae. The record is from RNAcentral.
UACAUUGCGUAAGUUCCCUGGGGGUGAC